AAGCUAUUGACAUUUUGAAAUGGAAGGUGACAGUCGCGAUCUACUUCAAAAAUGUAUUAGUAUGAAAAAUGUCAGUUUGGUGAGUGGUUGUGCAUUUUUUUAAAAAGUGAAUAAAUAUUCAAAGAAUAAUGGACCAUUCACAACAUACUUUACACGAAGGUCAUGAAACCAUGAAUCACGACCAUAUGCAUAUGGACCAUACGAAACAUAUGCACGGCGACGUCGGCCAUAGUAUGAUGCAGAUGUAUUUUUAUUUUUCUUCGUCUGCCACCGUACUAUUUUCCGAUUGGAAAUUUACUACGACCGGAGGUCUGAUUGGAUCUAUGAUAGGAAUAUUUAUAAUGGCGGCUUUAUACGAGGGACUCAAAUAUUUUAGAGAAUAUCUAUUUUGGAAAACGUACAAUUCGUUACAAUAUAGAGCGGUUGCGAUUCCAGAAAAGAACCAAUCACACGAAGAACCCCAAAUAGUGCAUCCUUCGAUGUUGAGCAAGAUGCAUUUCCUGCAGACGUUCCUGCACAUGGUCCAAAUGGUCAUAUCUUAUUUUCUGAUGCUGAUAUUCAUGACGUACAACACGUGGUUGUGCAUAUCGGUGGUAUUCGGUGCGGGCGUCGGCUAUUUUCUGUUCGGUUGGAAAAAAUCGGUCGUCGUCGAUGUAACGGAACAUUGUCACUGAUAUAGGAAAUUUAAAUACGCAGUAUCUUUUAGGGCUUUAAAAUGAUGACAAAAAAGAAAUAAUCAAACAAAAAAAAAAUAAUAACGCGUAAACACUAGUGUGAUAAGAUAAAACUUGUAUUUAAAAAAAAAAACGAGAAAAGUCUGCAGUCAAACGAGAUUUACGAUAUUCAAUAUGGCGGUGUUUGGGGUAAAUGGCGCGAGAAAGAUGAUACGAGGGUGAUGUCGAAUGUUGUUGAUUAUUUUACUAUUAAGUUCGUGGUUUUUAAUUCUAAAGGGUCAUUUUUGAUAAUUUCAAAGCGAUUUUGUAGAUUUUUUUCGUUUUUAUCAUAGAUAAUAAUUUUGGGAAAAAAAUAUCGAUAAAAAAAUCUCUUUUUUGACUUCCUUUUAUUCAUUUCGUCGUUUCCUCGAUUAUAUACAGGGGGAAAACAAAAUUUAACGAAAACUACUGGAAGGAAAUGGAAAAUAUAGUCAGAGGGGAGUGGAAGUGUUGGAAAUUGAAAAUACGGGGGAUGAUUGAUAAACAAAAAGAUUCGGUGGAUAAUUAAAAGCGAAAAAACGAAAUCGAGACAACGAGGGGUGAGUGAAAAGUUGGAAUGAGUUCAAAAUAGAAAAAAAAAUGGUGGAAAGGUGAAGAAAAAGGAAAAUUGUCGUGAAAAAGUAACAGAAAAUGAUCGUUUGAUGGUCAGAGGGGAGUGGAAGUGUUGGAAAUUGAAAAUACGGGGGAUGAUUGAUAAACAAAAAGAUUCGGUGGAUAAUUAAAAGCGAAAAAACGAAAUGGAGACAACCAGGGGGGUGAGUGAAAAGUUGGAAUGAGUUCAAAAUAGAAAAAAAAAAAUGGUGGAAAGGUGAAGAAAAAGGAAAAUUGUCGUGAAAAAGUAACAGAAAAUGAUCGUUUGAUGGUCAGAGGGGAGUAGAAGUGUUGGAAAUUGAAAAUACGGGGGAUGAUUGAUAAACAAAAAGAUUCGGUGGAUAAUUAAAAGCGAAAAAACGAAAUGGAGACAACCAGGGGUGAGUGAAAAGUUGGAAUGAGUUCAAAAUAGAAAAAAAAUGGUGGAAAGGUGAAGAAAAAGGAAAAUUGUCGUGAAAAAGUAACAGAAAAUGAUCGUUUGAUGAAGUUUGAUGGUCAGAGGGGAGUGGAAGUGUUGGAAAUUGAAAAUACGGGGGAUGAUUGAUAAACAAAAAGAUUCGGUGGAUAAUUAAAAGCGAAAAAACGAAAUCGAGACAACGAGGGGUGAGUGAAAAGUUGGAAUGAGUUCAAAAUAGAAAAAAAAAUGGUGGAAAGGUGAAGAAAAAGGAAAAUUGUCGUGAAAAAGUAACAGAAAAUGAUCGUUUGAUGGUCAGAGGGGAGUGGAAGUGUUGGAAAUUGAAAAUACGGGGGAUGAUUGAUAAACAAAAAGAUUCGGUGGAUAAUUAAAAGCGAAAAAACGAAAUGGAGACAACCAGGGGUGAGUGAAAAGUUGGAAUGAGUUCAAAAUAGAAAAAAAAUGGUGGAAAGGUGAAGAAAAAGGAAAAUUGUCGUGAAAAAGUAACAGAAAAUGAUCGUUUGAUGAAGUUUGAUGGUCAGAGGGGAGUGGAAGUGUUGGAAAUUGAAAAUACGGGGGAUGAUUGAUAAACAAAAAGAUUCGGUGGAUAAUUAAAAGCGAAAAAACGAAAUCGAGACAACGAGGGGUGAGUGAAAAGUUGGAAUGAGUUCAAAAUAGAAAAAAAAUGGUGGAAAGGUGAAGAAAAAGGAAAAUUGUCGUGAAAAAGUAACAGAAAAUGAUCGUUUGAUGAAGUUUGAUGGUCAGAGGGGAGUGGAAGUGUUGGAAAUUGAAAAUACGGGGGGUGAUUGAUAAACAAAAAGAUUCGGUGGAUAAUUAAAAGCGAAAAAACGAAAUCGAGACAACGAGGGGUGAGUGAAAAGUUGGAAUGAGUUCAAAAUAGAAAAAAAAAAAUGGUGGAAAGGUGAAGAAAAAGGAAAAUUGUCGUGAAAAAGUAACAGAAAAUGAUCGUUUGAUGGUCAGAGGGGAGUAGAAGUGUUGGAAAUUGAAAAUACGGGGGAUGAUUGAUAAACAAAAAGAUUCGGUGGAUAAUUAAAAGCGAAAAAACGAAAUGGAGACAACCAGGGGUGAGUGAAAAGUUGGAAUGAGUUCAAAAUAGAAAAAAAAUGGUGGAAAGGUGAAGAAAAAGGAAAAUUGUCGUGAAAAAGUAACAGAAAAUGAUCGUUUGAUGAAGUUUGAUGGUCAGAGGGGAGUGGAAGUGUUGGAAAUUGAAAAUACGGGGGAUGAUUGAUAAACAAAAAGAUUCGGUGGAUAAUUAAAAGCGAAAAAACGAAAUCGAGACAACGAGGGGUGAGUGAAAAGUUGGAAUGAGUUCAAAAUAGAAAAAAAAUGGUGGAAAGGUGAAGAAAAAGGAAAAUUGUCGUGAAAAAGUAACAGAAAAUGAUCGUUUGAUGGUCAGAGGGGAGUGGAAGUGUUGGAAAUUGAAAAUACGGGGGAUGAUUGAUAAACAAAAAGAUUCGGUGGAUAAUUAAAAGCGAAAAAACGAAAUGGAGACAACCAGGGGUGAGUGAAAAGUUGGAAUGAGUUCAAAAUAGAAAAAAAAUGGUGGAAAGGUGAAGAAAAAGGAAAAUUGUCGUGAAAAAGUAACAGAAAAUGAUCGUUUGAUGAAGUUUGAUGGUCAGAGGGGAGUGGAAGUGUUGGAAAUUGAAAAUACGGGGGAUGAUUGAUAAACAAAAAGAUUCGGUGGAUAAUUAAAAGCGAAAAAACGAAAUCGAGACAACGAGGGGUGAGUGAAAAGUUGGAAUGAGUUCAAAAUAGAAAAAAAAUGGUGGAAAGGUGAAGAAAAAGGAAAAUUGUCGUGAAAAAGUAACAGAAAAUGAUCGUUUGAUGAAGUUUGAUGGUCAGAGGGGAGUGGAAGUGUUGGAAAUUGAAAAUACGGGGGGUGAUUGAUAAACAAAAAGAUUCGGUGGAUAAUUAAAAGCGAAAAAACGAAAUCGAGACAACGAGGGGUGAGUGAAAAGUUGGAAUGAGUUCAAAAUAGAAAAAAAAAAAUGGUGGAAAGGUGAAGAAAAAGGAAAAUUGUCGUGAAAAAGUAACAGAAAAUGAUCGUUUGAUGGUCAGAGGGGAGUAGAAGUGUUGGAAAUUGAAAAUACGGGGGAUGAUUGAUAAACAAAAAGAUUCGGUGGAUAAUUAAAAGCGAAAAAACGAAAUGGAGACAACCAGGGGUGAGUGAAAAGUUGGAAUGAGUUCAAAAUAGAAAAAAAAUGGUGGAAAGGUGAAGAAAAAGGAAAAUUGUCGUGAAAAAGUAACAGAAAAUGAUCGUUUGAUGAAGUUUGAUGGUCAGAGGGGAGUGGAAGUGUUGGAAAUUGAAAAUACGGGGGAUGAUUGAUAAACAAAAAGAUUCGGUGGAUAAUUAAAAGCGAAAAAACGAAAUCGAGACAACGAGGGGUGAGUGAAAAGUUGGAAUGAGUUCAAAAUAGAAAAAAAAUGGUGGAAAGGUGAAGAAAAAGGAAAAUUGUCGUGAAAAAGUAACAGAAAAUGAUCGUUUGAUGGUCAGAGGGGAGUGGAAGUGUUGGAAAUUGAAAAUACGGGGGAUGAUUGAUAAACAAAAAGAUUCGGUGGAUAAUUAAAAGCGAAAAAACGAAAUGGAGACAACCAGGGGUGAGUGAAAAGUUGGAAUGAGUUCAAAAUAGAAAAAAAAUGGUGGAAAGGUGAAGAAAAAGGAAAAUUGUCGUGAAAAAGUAACAGAAAAUGAUCGUUUGAUGAAGUUUGAUGGUCAGAGGGGAGUGGAAGUGUUGGAAAUUGAAAAUACGGGGGAUGAUUGAUAAACAAAAAGAUUCGGUGGAUAAUUAAAAGCGAAAAAACGAAAUCGAGACAACGAGGGGUGAGUGAAAAGUUGGAAUGAGUUCAAAAUAGAAAAAAAAUGGUGGAAA
This is an RNA transcript of Diorhabda sublineata, 4589 nucleotides long. It is a transcript of the gene named high affinity copper uptake protein 1, with no coding region annotated. The record is from RefSeq and is a predicted model, not a curated record. The transcript has 6 exons. NCBI's taxonomy places the organism in Eukaryota, Metazoa, Arthropoda, Insecta, Coleoptera, Chrysomelidae.